UACGAAGGGGGCAAGCGUUGUUCGGAAUCAUUGGGCGUAAAGCGCGUGUAGGCGGUCUAAUAAGUCGAGUGUGAAAUCCCUAGGCUCAACCAAGGAAGUGCAUUCGAAACUAUUAGACUAGAAGAUGGUAGAGGAUGGUGGAAUUCCAGGUGUAGAGGUGAAAUUCGUAGAUAUCUGGAGGAAUACCGGUGGCGAAGGCGGCCAUCUGGGCCAUUCUUGACGCUGAGACGCGAAAGCGUGGGUAGCAAACAGGAUUAGAUACCCCGGUAGU
RNAcentral lists this ribosomal RNA (271 nucleotides) under uncultured bacterium. Its description in RNAcentral is "partial 16S ribosomal RNA". It matches the Rfam family "Bacterial small subunit ribosomal RNA", at positions 524 to 794 of the family's 1533-position model. The record is from RNAcentral.